Molecule: ribosomal RNA, 434 nt
Filed under: Hipposcarus harid (longnose parrotfish)
Lineage: Eukaryota; Metazoa; Chordata; Actinopteri; Labriformes; Labridae
Description: partial 12S ribosomal RNA
Rfam family: Bacterial small subunit ribosomal RNA
Source: RNAcentral
CUAGCCCAUGACACCUUGCUUAGCCACACCCCCAAGGGAACUCAGCAGUGAUAGACAUUAAGCCAUAAGUGAAAACUUGACUUAUUUACAGCCGCCAGGGCCGGUAAAACUCGUGCCAGCCACCGCGGUUACAGGAGAGGCCCAAGUUGACAGCCCCCGGCGUAAAGAGUGGUUAAGGAUUAACCCUAACUAAAGUCGAACGCCCCCAAGACCGUUAUACGUGCUCGGAGGUAUGAAGCCCAACUACGAAAGUGGCUUUAAAAUACCUGACCCCACGAAAGCUGUGAAACAAACUGGGAUUAGAUACCCCACUAUGCUCAGCCCUAAACUUUGAUAGUCUAACUACACUCACUAUCCGCCUGGGUACUACGAGCUUUAGCUUAAAACCCAAAGGACUUGGCGGUGCUUAAGAUCCACCUAGAGGAGCCUGUUCU